Molecule: transfer RNA, 73 nt
Filed under: Phytophthora megakarya
Lineage: Eukaryota; Oomycota; Peronosporomycetes; Peronosporales; Peronosporaceae
Rfam family: tRNA
About the family: Transfer RNA (tRNA) molecules are approximately 80 nucleotides in length. Their secondary structure includes four short double-helical elements and three loops (D, anti-codon, and T loops). Further hydrogen bonds mediate the characteristic L-shaped molecular structure. tRNAs have two regions of fundamental functional importance: the anti-codon, which is responsible for specific mRNA codon recognition, and the 3' end, to which the tRNAs corresponding amino acid is attached (by aminoacyl-tRNA synthetases). tRNAs cope with the degeneracy of the genetic code in two manners: having more than one tRNA (with a specific anti-codon) for a particular amino acid; and 'wobble' base-pairing, i.e. permitting non-standard base-pairing at the 3rd anti-codon position.
Source: Rfam by way of RNAcentral
GGACACAUAGCCCAAAUGGCAAGGGCACCACCUUUCUAGCGGAUGGACGCGGGUUCGAUUCCCGUUGGGUCAA